Molecule: ribosomal RNA, 850 nt
Filed under: Latilactobacillus sakei
Lineage: Bacteria; Bacillati; Bacillota; Bacilli; Lactobacillales; Lactobacillaceae
Description: bacterial SSU rRNA
Rfam family: Bacterial small subunit ribosomal RNA
Source: RNAcentral
UCCCCAAUUGACGGAAAUUCUGAUGGAGCAACCCCGCGUGAGUGAAGAAGGUUUUCGGAUCGUAAAACUCUGUUGUUGGAGAAGAAUGUAUCUGAUAGUAACUGAUCAGGUAGUGACGGUAUCCAACCAGAAAGCCACGGCUAACUACGUGCCAGCAGCCGCGGUAAUACGUAGGUGGCAAGCGUUGUCCGGAUUUAUUGGGCGUAAAGCGAGCGCAGGCGGUUUCUUAAGUCUGAUGUGAAAGCCUUCGGCUCAACCGAAGAAGUGCAUCGGAAACUGGGAAACUUGAGUGCAGAAGAGGACAGUGGAACUCCAUGUGUAGCGGUGAAAUGCGUAGAUAUAUGGAAGAACACCAGUGGCGAAGGCGGCUGUCUGGUCUGUAACUGACGCUGAGGCUCGAAAGCAUGGGUAGCAAACAGGAUUAGAUACCCUGGUAGUCCAUGCCGUAAACGAUGAGUGCUAGGUGUUGGAGGGUUUCCGCCCUUCAGUGCCGCAGCUAACGCAUUAAGCACUCCGCCUGGGGAGUACGACCGCAAGGUUGAAACUCAAAGGAAUUGACGGGGGCCCGCACAAGCGGUGGAGCAUGUGGUUUAAUUCGAAGCAACGCGAAGAACCUUACCAGGUCUUGACAUCCUUUGACCACUCUAGAGAUAGAGCUUUCCCUUCGGGGACAAAGUGACAGGUGGUGCAUGGUUGUCGUCAGCUCGUGUCGUGAGAUGUUGGGUUAAGUCCCGCAACGAGCGCAACCCUUAUUACUAGUUGCCAGCAUUAAGUUGGGCACUCUAGUGAGACUGCCGGUGACAAACCGGAGGAAGGUGGGGACGACGUCAAAUCAUCAUGCCCCUUAUGA